CGACCAUGCCGUGGUUCGCGAUCGGCGGUGUCGAUGCCGAGCGACUGCCCGAGGUGCUGGACGCGGGCGCGUCGCGGGUGGUCGU
This 85-nucleotide transfer RNA is filed under the name Nocardia asteroides. RNAcentral's name for it is "tRNA-Asp(gtc)". The record is from RNAcentral. Lineage: Bacteria; Bacillati; Actinomycetota; Actinomycetes; Mycobacteriales; Nocardiaceae.